CCUACGGAUGACAGCAGUGAGGAAUAUUGGUCAAUGGGCGCGAGCCUGAACCAGCCAAGUCGCGUGAGGGAAGACGGUCCUAUGGAUUGUAAACCUCUUUUGUCGGGGAGCAAAGGACGCCACGCGUGGCGUUCCGAGAGUACCCGAAGAAAAAGCAUCGGCUAACUCCGUGCCAGCAGCCGCGGUACUACGGAGGAUGCGAGCGUUAUCCGGAUGUAGUGGGUUUAAAGGGUGCGCAGGCGGAAGAUCAAGUCAGCGGUAAAAGUGAGAGGCUCAACCUCUUCGAGCCGUUGAAACUGGUUUUCUUGAGUGAGUGAGAAGUAUGCGGAGUGCGUGGUGUAGCGGUGAAAUGCAUAGAUAUCACGCAGAACUCCGAUUGCGAAGGCAGCAUACCGGCGCUCAACUGACGCUCAUGUACGAAAGUGUGGGUAUCGAACAGGAUUAGAUACCCGUGUAGUC
This 459-nucleotide ribosomal RNA is filed under the name uncultured bacterium. Its description in RNAcentral is "partial 16S ribosomal RNA". It matches the Rfam family "Bacterial small subunit ribosomal RNA", at positions 338 to 795 of the family's 1533-position model. The record is from RNAcentral.